UAAUUUUAUUUCUUUAUUGGAGCUUAUUAAAGGUAUUGGUCUGCUCCUUUGCUGUACAUCACUCAUUGUACAGUCCCAGUGAAGGCCAAGCACAUUUUUGCAUGUCAAACCAAAGUUAGCUGUACAUAGCUCUCCUCAAAGGUUUCCUCCAGCUGGUAAGAACUGGAACUGAGCAUAUCCUACUGAACCAAACUCAAAACCAGACACAGCAGCACUGCCAGCACCAGGGAGCUGAGGGUCAGGAAGGAUCAGGAUUUGGGGAGAUACAGUGGUUGAUUGGAGGUGGAGAGGUCAGGCAACUUUCAAAAACAGUAUUUAAUAUAAACAUAGACAAUGUACUGCACCUGCUAAACAAUGAGAGUCCUCUGUCUGUGCAGAACGAGGCCCCUGCAGUGACAACAACACUGAGAAAGCCCAGGAAAGCCCUGUCUGGCAUAGCUGGAGAUCAACAGUGAGCCCUACAGUGCAGGGCAGAGCAAACAAAAUCCACUUCUGGGUUACGACAGGGCUGCACAAGCCUUUCUGGAGAAUGGGCAAACCUACCUAAAAGAUAGGUCUGUCUGGGGCGGGGCUGACAUUUUUGGAAAGAGUUCAGGAAUUCUAAAGGAUAGAACCUCAAAACAGGGCGAAAACCUGACUUUGGAAAUUAAUAUACCCUGGAAGCACUAGUGCCUGAAGCCCAGCCAGAUAAGGAGCCAGCUGACAUUUGAAGAGCUCUGGAGCUUGGCAGAUGCUCUCUCAGAGCUUGCUGCAUCCAGCACUGAUCCAAGGGUGUAAUCCCAACACCUCCUUCUGGAGCUCCACACACCAUACUGCAAGACCAGCUGGGAAACAAGGAAAGACAGGUUUGAAGAUGUAGGAGCGUCAAUGUUUGUAUCUAAAUAGAUUUGAAAGUGAUUACUGCAAAGCCAAGCAGCUGAAACCACCUCAGUACUGACACAGCCCAUCAUUACACCCUUCCAGCAUGGGGGGCUCAGCUUUCAAAGGACUGCUGGGAUUUAGCCCCAGUUUCCAUUAACACCAGUGACCCACCCAGCACCACUUUGGGAGUUACCUGGGGCAGUUUUCUUCUCUGGCUACACAGGGGUUUUACCCCCAGCUCCC
Cyanistes caeruleus (blue tit) is the source of this 1104-nucleotide long non-coding RNA. RefSeq lists it as uncharacterized. The record is from RefSeq and is a predicted model, not a curated record. Lineage: Eukaryota; Metazoa; Chordata; Aves; Passeriformes; Paridae.